This 253-nucleotide ribosomal RNA is filed under the name uncultured bacterium. Its description in RNAcentral is "partial 16S ribosomal RNA". It matches the Rfam family "Bacterial small subunit ribosomal RNA", at positions 524 to 776 of the family's 1533-position model. The record is from RNAcentral.
UACAGAGGUCCCAAGCGUUGUUCGGAUUCACUGGGCGUAAAGGGUGCGUAGGCGGUCGGGUAAGUCUGAUGUGAAAUCUCACAGCUUAACUGUGAAACUGCAUUGGAUACUAUCCGGCUAGAGGAAUGGAGGGGAGACUGGAAUACUUGGUGUAGCAGUGAAAUGCGUAGAUAUCAAGUGGAACCCCAGUGGCGAAGGCGAGUCUCUGGACAUUUCCUGACGCUGAGGCACGAAAGCCAGGGGAGCAAACGGG